GAACGGGUGAGUAACACGUGGGAAACCUACCUCUUAGCAGGGGAUAACAUUUGGAAACAGAUGCUAAUACCGUAUAACAAUGACAACCGCAUGGUUGUUAUUUAAAAGAUGGUUCUGCUAUCACUAAGAGAUGGUCCCGCGGUGCAUUAGCUAGUUGGUAAGGUAAUGGCUUACCAAGGCGAUGAUGCAUAGCCGAGUUGAGAGACUGAUCGGCCACAAUGGGACUGAGACACGGCCCAUACUCCUACGGGAGGCAGCAGUAGGGAAUCUUCCACAAUGGGCGAAAGCCUGAUGGAGCAACGCCGCGUGUGUGAUGAAGGGUUUCGGCUCGUAAAACACUGUUGUAAGAGAAGAAUGACAUUGAGAGUAACUGUUCAAUGUGUGACGGUAUCUUACCAGAAAGGAACGGCUAAAUACGUGCCAGCAGCCGCGGUAAUACGUAUGUUCCAAGCGUUAUCCGGAUUUAUUGGGCGUAAAGCGAGCGCAGACGGUUAUUUAAGUCUGAAGUGAAAGCCCUCAGCUCAACUGAGGAAUUGCUUUGGAAACUGGAUGACUUGAGUGCAAUAGAGGAAAGUGGAACUCCAUGUGUAGCGGUGAAAUGCGUAGAUAUAUGGAAGAACACCAGUGGCGAAGGCGGCUUUCUGGACUGUAACUGACGUUGAGGCUCGAAAGUGUGGGUAGCAAACAGGAUUAGAUACCCUGGUAGUCCACACCGUAAACGAUGAGUGCUAGGUGUUUGAGGGUUUCCGCCCUUAAGUGCCGCAG
RNAcentral lists this ribosomal RNA (765 nucleotides) under uncultured Weissella sp. Its description in RNAcentral is "bacterial SSU rRNA". It matches the Rfam family "Bacterial small subunit ribosomal RNA", at positions 100 to 851 of the family's 1533-position model. The record is from RNAcentral. Lineage: Bacteria; Bacillati; Bacillota; Bacilli; Lactobacillales; Lactobacillaceae.